GGCGCCGCCGGCUUCCCCCUCCCUAACGCCACCACCUCUUCCUCCUCCUUCCCUUCCCCACCUGCGGCUGCCACCUUACCUUCUGCUAGCCCUCAAAUCUCGCCUCCGCCGCCGACUCCGGCCGCGAAUCGGGCCUCGGAUCGGCGCAGGCGCGCCAAUUGAUGUCCGAUCUGUGACGAGGGACAGCCCCCACCACCUCCUUCUCCGCGUCCGCGCCAGGUGCCGCCGCCCCUCCUCCGUCCAGGUGACGCCACCUCUCCUCCGUCCAGGCGCCGCCGCUCCGCCUCCCUGUUUCCGACGCGAUCUGCAACGACGCCUUCACCUCGGCCACCACUCAAUUCUGCAUCCACCACGGUGUAUCUUUGGGGGGGGCGAGAGCCUUUGCCGCUCCCUCACUCUCUGUGUCACGUAUCUCCUCGGUUGCUGAUUCCCCGCUCGUUUGUCGCCAUUGCCGCACCUUGUGCACUGUGAAGGUUCAGAAGAGCUACUAUCUGGUGAGCCUUGUUGACAACGACUACAUCCACGGGGAUCUGUUUGCCGUCUUCAAGGAGCUCUGAUCACCAAGAUCCAAUCCAUGCUAUUCUCUUCGCCAAACUUUGUUGGCCCAGGAGUCCUGAUCUGCUAGGUUUGCUUCAGUCCAUACGCUGGCACCGUCGUCUACAGCAUCGUGCUCCCCGCCUCGAGCUAGGCACUACAACCUGUGUGCAAGAAAAGGAAAACACAGAGCAUUUGGUUUCUGUACAUAGGAAGAUAUUAUUUGGUGGACUCAGGGUAUGCCAAAGAGCGUGGGUAUUUGGGACCGCAUCACCACAACAGGUACUGGAAGAAGGAGUUCAAAUAUAGGGGUCAUGAGCAUUUGCAAUAGUUGUUCAACUACCAUCAUUCGAAACUGUGUAAUGUGGUUGAAAGGACAUUUGGGGUCGCCAAAAAUAAGUGGCAAAUGUUGAAAGGUAUGCCAAACUAUCCUACGGAGAAGCAAUGUGGAAUUAUUAUGUCAUGUUUUGCACUGCAUAACUUUGUACGGGAUGAGAAUGCACGGUCAUCGACAGUCGGUCCGAUGCUGGUACGUCCACUAAGUGAGUAUUCCAAUCAGUGGGUUGAGUCAAAUGCGGAAGAUGACAUGGCAACUCUCCGUGAUUGGAUUACUACUGGACUUGGAGUAAUGGGGUUCGGGCUCAGAUGAUCUGCAGUGGAACCUGGAAUGAAGGAGAAGCACAGGACAAUGUUUAUUUUGGUCCCUACGGUUUCAUGAAGGUGCAUGUGCCUGUAUGUUGGCUUAUUUUGGUACGGAGGGGUUCAUGAAGUU
This is a long non-coding RNA of Panicum virgatum (switchgrass), 1306 nucleotides long. RefSeq lists it as uncharacterized. The record is from RefSeq and is a predicted model, not a curated record. Lineage: Eukaryota; Viridiplantae; Streptophyta; Magnoliopsida; Poales; Poaceae. The transcript has 4 exons.